AUUAAAAUAAAAUAGGUAGUAUCAAAAUAAUGAAAAACCUAUAUAAUCUGGCGGCAUUUCAUCUUACUAGAGGAACAUGUUAUUUAAUCGAUAAUACACGAUCAAUUUAACUUAUUUCAAAAUUUUAUAUACCUCCAUCCACAAAUUAAUUUUAAAAUAUUUUUUAAAUAAAAUUCUAAAAGGUUAGGUAAAGGUGUAAACUAAAAAUAAGGUUUAAAUGUGUUACAUUAAACAAAAUUUAAGGAUUAUACCCUAAAGUUUAUUUUAAAAAAGGAUUUAAAAGUAAAAUUAUCACAAUAUCUUAACUUGAAUAAGAAAAUAAAUGUGC
RNAcentral lists this ribosomal RNA (328 nucleotides) under Mimetus sp. GH994. RNAcentral's name for it is "partial 12S ribosomal RNA". The record is from RNAcentral. Lineage: Eukaryota; Metazoa; Arthropoda; Arachnida; Araneae; Mimetidae.